UUUUUUUUUUUUUUCUUUAUUGCUUUGCAACUGCAGAGGGCUAAAAAAAGAGUUGUUUUAUAUAAAAAAAUUCUAACCUCUUUAUAAGGACUGAGAUUUUAACAGUGUAGCUAAACUCUCUGUUAACGAUAUUUUUGUGUGUAAUUUAAUUACAAAAGAACUCGUCAAGUUUCGAAAGAAAACGAGUUAGAAUAGAUAUUUUACGCGAUCUUUAGUUUUCACUUAAAGUGAAUAGUAAUCCGGAUUUUCUGAGAGGCUAAGAUGUAGAGAUGGCUUCUGGCGCGUAUCGGACUCCGUUCAUAGUGAUCCAAUUGCUCAUUUUCAAUGGUCUGACUAUUCUGGAACCAUUGGCGCUGACGGAUUUUAGGUUUGAAGCACGAAUUUCGAGAAAACUGGAGAUACAUAUAUUAUAUGUAUUUGUGUGCGGAUUUUGCCAUUUGGAGAGGGGAUGGGUUUCGUCGCGAAUCUGCG
RNAcentral lists this long non-coding RNA (471 nucleotides) under Ananas comosus (pineapple). Its description in RNAcentral is "long non-coding RNA (ACOM_LNC027819)". The record is from RNAcentral. Lineage: Eukaryota; Viridiplantae; Streptophyta; Magnoliopsida; Poales; Bromeliaceae.